AGAAACCAACUGGGAUUGCCUUAGUAACGGCGAGUGAAGCGGCAACAGCUCAAAUUUGAAAUCUGGCAUCAGCCCGAGUUGUAAUUUGUAGAGGAUGUUUCGGGCAAGGCUUCGGUUUAAAUUUCUUGGAACAGAAUGUCAUAGAGGGUGAGAGUCCCGUCUAAAACCAUCUGCCGCGUCCAUGUGAAACUCCUUCGACGAGUCGAGUUGUUUGGGAAUGCAGCUCAAAAUGGGAGGUAAAUUUCUUCUAAAGCUAAAUAUUGGCCAGAGACCGAUAGCGCACAAGUAGAGUGAUCGAAAGAUGAAAAGCACUUUGAAAAGAGAGUUAAACAGUAUGUGAAAUUGUUGAAAGGGAAGCAUUUGCAACCAGACUUGAGUUUAACGGUUCAACCACCAUUUUUGGUGGCCCAUUCCGUUAUAUCCAGGCCAGCAUCGGUUCAGGUGGUUAGUUAAAGGCCUUGGGAAUGUAUCAACGCUUCGGGGUUGACUUAUAGCCCUUGGUGUAAUGUGACCUAUCUGGACCGAGGUACGCGCUUCGGCUCGGAUGCUGGCGUAAUGGUUGUAAAUGACCCGUCUUGAAACACGGACCAAGGAGUCUAACAUCUAUGCGAGUGUUCGGGUGUCAAACCCCUACGCGUAAUGAAAGUGAACGGAGGUAGGAACCGCAAGGUGCACUAUCGACCGAUCCUGAUGUCUUCGGAUGGAUUUGAGUAAGAGCAUAGCUGUUGGGACCCGAAAGAUGGUGAACUAUGCCUGAAUAGGGUGAAGCCAGAGGAAACUCUGGUGGAGGCUCGCAGCGGUUCUGACGUGCAAAUCGAUCGUCAAAUUUGGGUAUAGGGGCGAAAGACUAAUCGAACCAUCUGGUAGCUGGUUCC
Molecule: ribosomal RNA, 875 nt
Filed under: Nothophaeomoniella ekebergiae
Lineage: Eukaryota; Fungi; Ascomycota; Eurotiomycetes; Phaeomoniellales; Phaeomoniellaceae
Description: partial large subunit ribosomal RNA
Rfam family: Eukaryotic large subunit ribosomal RNA
Source: RNAcentral